UGAAUUAUAAUAACAUUGAGGUCUACUUGUACUAUAUUCAAAUCGAAAUUCAAAAAGAUAAUUAUCGUACUUCACUGUAAAGUCAAUUACUUCACUCAAUGUUUGAAGAUCAAGUAAGUUGAACAUUAAUUUUUUUACCUCAUAUUGUAAUCCGUUGUCGUAAUGUGUGAAGUCUUGCUUUAGAAUGCUCCGGGCACCUGGCUGUAGAACGAAGAAUAAAAAUUGCGAUAACAAAAUCCUAAAUAGAAUACUAACAAUGCUCUAAUUAGACUAUAAUAAUGGUAAACAAACGUAAUCAAAUUCAAAACAACUCAAAGAAAUUUCAAACAAACAAUAAAAUUUUUAAAGAAAUAUUAGAACGAUCACAAAUUUUACUCAAAUAUAUGUCAAUUCAACCUUAAUUUAAUUCUAGUUAAAACUCUAUUGAAUUUCACUCAACUUUAGACCAAAUGUAACUAAAUCUUAAACCCUAAUAAUUCCUAAAUCCUAAAUCAAAUCCUAAACAAAUCUUAAAUUAAAUCCUAUUCCAAACCCUAAACCUUAAAUCAAACCCUAAAUCAAACCCUAAACCAAACCCUAAUCCAAUCCUAAAUCCUAAACCAAACCUUAAAUCAAAUCCUAACCAAAUUCUAAUCCAAAUCCUAAAUCAAAUCCUAACCAAACCCUAAAUCCUAAUCCAAACCCUAAUCCAAAUCCUAAUCCAACCCUAAACUCUAAUCCAAAUCCUAAAUCCUAAACCAAACCUUAAAUCAAAUCCUAACCAAACCCUAGUCCAAACUCUAAUCCAAAUCCUAAAUCAAACCCUAACCAAACCCUAAAUCCUAAUCCAAACCAUAAUCCAAACCCUAAUCCAACCCUAAAUCAAACCUUAAAUCAAAUCCUAACCAAAUCCUAAUCCAAAUCCUAAUCCAAACCCUAAACCCUAAUCCAAACCCUAGCCAAACCCUAUUCCAAAUCCUAAUCCAAACCCUAAACCGAACCCUA
Molecule: long non-coding RNA, 984 nt
Filed under: Physcomitrium patens
Lineage: Eukaryota; Viridiplantae; Streptophyta; Bryopsida; Funariales; Funariaceae
Description: long non-coding RNA (PPAT_LNC010083)
Source: RNAcentral